AAAAGUUAUAAAUUUUUUUUAUACUAUUUUCCACCACAUUAUGUUAGGUUUCCUUUUUUUUUUUCUCACUUCUUCCACCACAAACUUAUCACAUUUCUAUACUAAAGCAUUCGAUGCUCAUGAUAAUGCUGUACAACAUGACUUACAAAUUCUUUAGAACUAUAAUGCAUUUGCACUUACAUCUUUUCAUUUAUGACACAUACAAAAAUCCCUUUUAUUUUAUUUUUAAAGGUGAGGGGGAGGUUUGGGCAAUGGUAGUGGGAAUGUCAGUUGAUAUCCAUCUACAAAAAUUAAAUACCCCUACAUAUGUUUCUAGUUAUGUGAAAUGAAAUAUAGAAUUGUCAACAACCUCUGACCUGGGAAGUGAGAUGGAUAGGUUGAUCAGAAAUGAGGUUUUAUUAUACAGAUGUAAAUUG
RNAcentral lists this unclassified non-coding RNA (416 nucleotides) under Hevea brasiliensis (rubber tree). Lineage: Eukaryota; Viridiplantae; Streptophyta; Magnoliopsida; Malpighiales; Euphorbiaceae. The record is from RNAcentral.